This 253-nucleotide ribosomal RNA is filed under the name uncultured bacterium. Its description in RNAcentral is "partial 16S ribosomal RNA". It matches the Rfam family "Bacterial small subunit ribosomal RNA", at positions 524 to 776 of the family's 1533-position model. The record is from RNAcentral.
UACGUAGGUGGCAAGCGUUGUCCGGAAUUAUUGGGCGUAAAGCGCGCGCAGGCGGUCCUUUAAGUCUGAUGUGAAAGCCCACGGCUCAACCGUGGAGGGUCAUUGGAAACUGGGGGACUUGAGUGCAGGAGAGAAGAGUGGAAUUCCACGUGUAGCGGUGAAAUGCGUAGAGAUGUGGAGGAACACCCGUGGGGAAGGCGACUUUUUGGCCUGUAACUGACGCUGAGGCGCGAAAGCGUGGGGAGCAAACAGG